This is a microRNA precursor of Pan troglodytes (chimpanzee), 52 nucleotides long. It matches the Rfam family "mir-1302 microRNA precursor family". NCBI's taxonomy places the organism in Eukaryota, Metazoa, Chordata, Mammalia, Primates, Hominidae. The record is from Rfam.
UUUUUAGUAUAAGUAUGCCCUAUGUAAUAUUUAGAACAUACUUACACUAAAA